UUAAUUGAAGAGUUUGAUCAUGGCUCAGAUUGAACGCUGGCGGCAGGCCUAACACAUGCAAGUCGAGCGGUAGCACAAGAGAGCUUGCUCUCUGGGUGACGAGCGGCGGACGGGUGAGUAAUGUCUGGGAAACUGCCUGAUGGAGGGGGAUAACUACUGGAAACGGUAGCUAAUACCGCAUGACGUCUUCGGACCAAAGUGGGGGACCUUCGGGCCUCACGCCAUCAGAUGUGCCCAGAUGGGAUUAGCUAGUAGGUGGGGUAAUGGCUCACCUAGGCGACGAUCUCUAGCUGGUCUGAGAGGAUGACCAGCCACACUGGAACUGAGACACGGUCCAGACUCCUACGGGAGGCAGCAGUGGGGAAUAUUGCACAAUGGGCGCAAGCCUGAUGCAGCCAUGCCGCGUGUAUGAAGAAGGCCUUCGGGUUGUAAAGUACUUUCAGCGAGGAGGAAGGCAUUAAGGUUAAUAACCUUAGUGAUUGACGUUACUCGCAGAAGAAGCACCGGCUAACUCCGUGCCAGCAGCCGCGGUAAUACGGAGGGUGCAAGCGUAAUCGGAAUUACUGGGCGUAAAGCGCACGCAGGCGGUUUGUUAAGUCAGAUGUGAAAUCCCCGAGCUUAACUUGGGAACUGCAUUUGAAACUGGCAAGCUAGAGUCUUGUAGAGGGGGGUAGAAUUCCAGGUGUAGCGGUGAAAUGCGUAGAGAUCUGGAGGAUACCGGUGGCGAAGGCGGCCCCCUGGACAAAGACUGACGCUCAGGUGCGAAAGCGUGGGAGCAAACAGGAUUAGAUACCCUGGUAGUCCACGCUGUAAACGAUGUCGACUUGGAGGUUGUGCCCUUGAGGCGUGGCUUCCGGAGCUAACGCGUUAAGUCGACCGCCUGGGGAGUACGGCCGCAAGGUUAAAACUCAAAUGAAUUGACGGGGGCCCGCACAAGCGGUGGAGCAUGUGGUUUAAUUCGAUGCAACGCGAAGAACCUUACCUACUCUUGACAUCCAGAGAAUUUGCUAGAGAUAGCUUAGUGCCUUCGGGAACUCUGAGACAGGUGCUGCAUGGCUGUCGUCAGCUCGUGUUGUGAAAUGUUGGUUUAAGUCCCGCAACGAGCGCAACCCUUAUCCUUUGUUGCCAGCGAGUAAUGUCGGGAACUCAAAGGAGACUGCCGGUGAUAAACCGGAGGAAGGUGGGGAUGACGUCAAGUCAUCAUGGCCCUUACGAGUAGGGCUACACACGUGCUACAAUGGCAUAUACAAAGAGAAGCGAACUCGCGAGAGCAAGCGGACCUCAUAAAGUAUGUCGUAGUCCGGAUUGGAGUCUGCAACUCGACUCCAUGAAGUCGGAAUCGCUAGUAAUCGUAGAUCAGAAUGCUACGGUGAAUACGUUCCCGGGCCUUGUACACACCGCCCGUCCACACCAUGGGAGUGGGUUGCAAAAGAAGUAGGUAGCUUAACCUUCGGGAGGGCGCUUACCACUUUGUGAUUCAUGACUGGGGUGAAGUCGUAACAAGGUAACCGUAGGGGAACCUGCGGUUGGAUCACCUCCUUACCUAAAGA
RNAcentral lists this ribosomal RNA (1550 nucleotides) under Hafnia paralvei. RNAcentral describes it as "bacterial SSU rRNA". It matches the Rfam family "Bacterial small subunit ribosomal RNA". The record is from RNAcentral. Lineage: Bacteria; Pseudomonadati; Pseudomonadota; Gammaproteobacteria; Enterobacterales; Hafniaceae.